Molecule: non-coding RNA, 4189 nt
Organism: Salmo salar (Atlantic salmon)
Lineage: Eukaryota; Metazoa; Chordata; Actinopteri; Salmoniformes; Salmonidae
Source: RefSeq, a predicted model, not a curated record
CCUCAGACGUUUAUACAAUUUAGGGAAGUGACGGGGGUUGUCAGAAGCUAACUGCGCCCUUUCAUCCGAAAGUUCUAAUGAGAAAGCAAAUGAAUGGAAUCGUCGGUACGGAUUGAGAACGGAUCGUUAUAACAGGGUCAACGGUAACGGGGACUGGUUUUGGACCUCCACACACAGUCGACGAAUAAAUAGCUAUUUAAAAAAAAAAAUUUUUACAGCCAACAAUGAAUGUGCAAUUACCUUCAUCUGCAACAUGGCUGCUAGGAGGACGCUAGUGGGAAAAGUUUAGAGUACUGACGUGGGACAAGUUUAUACUAAUCCAGUCCGGUGCAGCAGAAACUGUUGGAUAAACAAAACAAAUAUUUUUCUUCUUCUUUCUAUCGCCUCGGAUUGAACAAACGAACGGAACACUGGAUUACCGAGUAAAUGCAGAGGAGUGCAAGACCACUUUGGCAAUAGACUUUACCUUGUAGAUUUGUGGUGAACCUUUUCAUCCAAACUAGCGGACCUGUCGUCCAGUGGGCCAUCAUCUAAAAUGCAUUUCUCCAUUCCCGAAACGGAGGUUCGUUCGGGAGAAAAUGGAUCAACAUAUGUGGCCUUCAACAUCCAUGUGAAUAGUGUUCUGCACUGUCAGGUACGCUAUAGCCAGCUGCUUGGCCUACACCAACAGAUAAAGAAAGAGUAUGGGAACAACGUGGUACCUGCUUUCCCCCCAAAGAAGAUAUUCACGCUGACGCCGGCUGAGGUGGAGCAGAGACGAGAACAGCUGGAGAAAUACAUGCAAGCUGUACGACAGGACCCCAUGCUCGGAGCCAGUGAGGUGUUCAACAGCUUUCUAAGGAAAGCCCAGCAGGAGACCCAGCAGAUUCCAACAGAAGAGGUACCUCUGGAGAUCUACCUGUCUAAGAGGCAGAAGGUCACAGUCAACAUCCUGACCUCGGACCAGACAGAAGACGUCCUCGAGGCUGUUGCGUCGAAGCUGGACCUUCCAGAUGACCUUGCUGGUUACUUCAGUCUCUUCCUGGUUCGGGAAGGAGUGGACGGGGGCUUAACGUUUGUGAGGAAGCUGCAGGAUUUUGAGCUGCCAUACGUAUCAGUCACCAGUUUACGGAGCUUGGAGUUCCACAUCGCCCUUCGUAAAAGUUACUGGGACACGGCGUAUGACACUGAUGUAAUGGACAACAGAGUGGGACUAAACCUACUAUACACUCAGACGGUGUCUGACAUAGAGAGAGGCUGGAUCCUCGUUAACAAGGACCAACACAGACAGCUCAAAUCACUGCAGGAGAAAGGCUCCAAGAAAGAAUUCAUUAGGCUAUGCCAGACGCUGAAGUACUUUGGCUACAUCCAAUUUGAUCCAUGUGUGACAGACUUCCCGGAGAAAGGCUGUCACGCAAUCGUCUCCGCUGGGAACAACGAACUCAACUUCCAGGUCAAGCUGCCCAAUGAACAGAUGAAAGAGGGGAGCUUCAAGGUCACUCGCAUGCGGUGCUGGCGGGUCACGUCUUCUCAGGUCCCAGUAGCCAACGGAACAGCCUCCCCCCCCCCUCUACAACAGGUCCCAGUAGCCAACGGAACAGCCUCCACCUCCCCCUGCUCCUCAGCCCAGUGUGAGGUGAAGUUGGAGCUGGCCUUCGAGUAUCUGAUGAGCAAAGACCGUCUCCAGUGGGUCACCAUCACCAGCCCACAGGUCAGGGGCAAUCAUGAUGAGCAUCUGUCUACAGUCGAUGGUUGAUGAGCUGAUGGUCAAGAAGUCAGGAGGCAGCAUCAAGAAGAUGCUGCGGAGACGUCCCAACGGCUCCCUCCACCGGUCUGAAAGUCAGCAAGCUGUGAAAUCCCCCCCUCUACUGGACUCUCCUGACCCAGACCGAGAACAGAUAGUCAAACUCUCAACCAAGCUGAGCUCUGUGUCACUCAGAGGGACCAGCGACGUCGGCGGCAACGAUUUCCAUGGCAACUACGCCUUUGAGGGGAUCGGGGACGAUGACCUGUAAUAUUCAACCCCCUUCCUCCCCCUGACUAACGCGACCCGCAAAGAUUCCAAGCCGAGCUGAGCCAGGCAGAAAUGAGUUUUGUCGUGUGGUUUCUGGUUGUAGCCCUUCCUGAGGGUCUGCUACCAACCAUAUGUUCUCCUUUCAUCCUCUUCAUAAAAGGCUGCAUCCCAAAUGACACUCUGUUUACUUUCACAGUAUGGUACUUUUGAGCAGAGUCCCGUUGGCCAUUUGGCGACACAGCCAAAACUGCCAUCUAUCUCAGUGUUUUCCCAACCUUUAUUUGAACCGUGGCACACUUUAAAAAAUCUAUAUAUAUUUGGCACACCUAAAAUAUCCCUAUUGAUUUGUUUUAGUGGUAAUGACCUGCAACGUACUGCAAAUCAUCUAUUUUCUGUGACAAAUGUGUUUUAUAGAUUUUAAAUAGGGUUAAUUUGAACUGUUUUUCAUAGUUCUUUACUCAUGAUGGUUAAUUUGUGUGUACCCCUUUAAGAGAACCCAUGACUCUGUACUAUAAUUCGUAUUAUUUCUUUCUGGUAAAAUAGGUAUUUUUAUUGUUAAAGGUUUGAGCUACAGACGAGUGGUUUUCUGCAUUGUAGAAGUGCAAACACAGACACGAGCCAUGCUCCAUAAGAAAUAACUGACUUUGGCUAAACCUAAUCAGACUUGCCUGUACAAAUGUUUUUUACAGACAAAUCUAAUGAUUUUCACUGCCCAUCCUCUUGUUCAUCAAUCAACUCAUUGUUUCUCUUAUGUUCUUAAUAAAUGUCAAUAAUAUUUAGAGGGGAAAAAAAAUCUCAAACUGCAGUCUUAAGGUGAAAGUGGUUUAAACGAGGACAUUGCAAAUGUCAUUUUUGAACGUGUUAUUAUAAUAAGCAUAAUUAUCCAUGAGUGGACAAUGGAUGUUUUGAACUUCUAGACUAUGUAGCAGUCUUCAUAGAUUUACGUUCUUCUGUAAAAAAUGAGGACAUUCCGUAGGUCGAAAAGGAGCCUCGUCUUCAUCACAGUGUCAUUCUAAGUGUGUAAUUUUUGUGUUUUCUUUUAGUGUGUUUAUUCUGUCACAUCAGAAAUCCAAGGUACAAACCAGAUAGCUGAUUUUGUAAAAAAAAAGAAGGGGUGUCAGAUCUCACUCAGAGCUAUGUCUUCUUCAGAUGGGGUCUUCUUCCUUUUGACAAACCAAGACGAGACAGAAGUCAGGCAGAAAGGCUUUAACACAGUGAUAAUGAAAUGUGUUAUUCAUUUGGAGUUACUGCUUAGUGAUAUUACUUACACACACAAUUUAAUAACUGUUCAAAUUUGCCAAAAAAGUGUUUUUCAGGAACGUAUUUUGAAGGGUACAUUUGUUAUUUUUCUCCCCUAUUACUCACACCAGCGCUGUUGUAGUGAAGAUUAGUGGGAAUGUUAGACUACAUAGGUUGUUGACUACAAUGCUCAUUUCCUGUAAGAUUUAUAAUUUAACGCCUUAAUUUUGCCUGUUGCCUCUAGUCCACCAAAAUCCAGUGUUGGGUUGCCUUUGGUCAACUUACCAACCAUGUAUCAGCCUUAGCUUGCACUUCCCGAACCAAUCAUUUUGCACAGUAUUAUGCCGCGUUCGCGUACUAGUGGGAAUUAGGAAACUCUGAAAUGACUGACUUGGUUGUAGUUAUACACCAGCUGCGUUCAACCAGUUAGCAAGUCGGACAUUUCAGAGUUUCCUUGUUCUGACUAGUACUUGAAUGUGGCAAUACAGAUGGACGACGGAUAUUUAUUAAGUAAUGUGGAGCACGAAAAAACGUCAUGGGGCUUAGUCUCAAAAGGCACCCUAUUCCCUAUAUAGUGCACUACUUUUGCCUAGAGGUUUGACCAGCGGUAUAGGGAAUAGGGUGCCUUUUGGGACUCAGCCAUAGAAUAUUUCCAAGGGGGUUGUGAAACUCCCUUGGAAACUUUCCCUUUUUUGUUUCAGCCAAUUUUUUUUUUGCCUCAUAAAAGCCAAAAUUAUAGUUUACUAAAGCAUUUUGCACAAAAUAACAUUUAAAAAAAAACACAUGGUAUGACGUCACUUUGUAUAAGAAAAAUCAUUGUGAACAUUUACUAAUAAUAACUGUAUCAUCCAUAGUUUAUUACAGAGCCAUAUAUUUAGAGACUUAGGCCAAAUAUUAUAAUGUUUUAUAUUGUUCUGAUUCUAGACAUUCAGGUACAUAGCAUUGUAUAAAUAUUCC